This 497-nucleotide ribosomal RNA is filed under the name uncultured bacterium. Its description in RNAcentral is "partial 16S ribosomal RNA". It matches the Rfam family "Bacterial small subunit ribosomal RNA", at positions 28 to 507 of the family's 1533-position model. The record is from RNAcentral.
GAUGAACGCUGGCGGCGUGCCUAAUACAUGCAAGUCGAGCGAACAGACGAGGAGCUUGCUCCUCUGAUGUUAGCGGCGGACGGGUGAGUAACACGUGGAUAACCUACCUAUAAGACUGGGAUAACUUCGGGAAACCGGAGCUAAUACCGGAUAACAUGUUGAACCGCAUGGUUCAACAGUGAAAGACGGUCUUGCUGUCACUUAUAGAUGGAUCAGCGCCGCAUUAGCUAGUUGGUAAGGUAACGGCUUACCAAGGCAACGAUGCGUAGCCGACCUGAGAGGGUGAUCGGCCACACUGGAACUGAGACACGGUACAGACUCCAACGGGAGGCAGCAGUAGGGAAUCUUCCGCAAUGGGCGAAAGCCUGACGGAGCAACGCCGCGUGAGUGAAGAAGGUCUUCUGAUCGUAAAACUCUGUUAUUCGGGAAGAACAAAUGUGUAAGUAACUAUGCACGUCUUGACGGUACCUAAUCAGAAAGCCACGGCUAACUACGUG